AGCAGGAUCCGAGAAAGCAGUAGC
RNAcentral lists this non-coding RNA (24 nucleotides) under Arabidopsis thaliana (thale cress). Lineage: Eukaryota; Viridiplantae; Streptophyta; Magnoliopsida; Brassicales; Brassicaceae. The record is from RNAcentral.